GCCAGUGUGGUGUAGUGGUUUGAGCAAUGGACUAUUGACUCUGGAGACCAGGGUUUGACUCCCUGCUUAGCCA
This is a non-coding RNA of Phrynosoma platyrhinos (Desert horned lizard), 73 nucleotides long. NCBI's taxonomy places the organism in Eukaryota, Metazoa, Chordata, Lepidosauria, Squamata, Phrynosomatidae. The record is from the annotation of a GenBank genome assembly.